This 824-nucleotide ribosomal RNA is filed under the name Microbacterium sp. PCA2-19_Pa. RNAcentral's name for it is "bacterial SSU rRNA". It matches the Rfam family "Bacterial small subunit ribosomal RNA", at positions 63 to 895 of the family's 1533-position model. Lineage: Bacteria; Bacillati; Actinomycetota; Actinomycetes; Micrococcales; Microbacteriaceae. The record is from RNAcentral.
CGAACGGUGAACACGGAGCUUGCUCUGUGGGAUCAGUGGCGAACGGGUGAGUAACACGUGAGCAACCUGCCCCUGACUCUGGGAUAAGCGCUGGAAACGGCGUCUAAUACUGGAUACGAACCAUGAAGGCAUCUUCAGUGGUUGGAAAGAUUUAUUGGUUGGGGAUGGGCUCGCGGCCUAUCAGCUUGUUGGUGAGGUAAUGGCUCACCAAGGCGUCGACGGGUAGCCGGCCUGAGAGGGUGACCGGCCACACUGGGACUGAGACACGGCCCAGACUCCUACGGGAGGCAGCAGUGGGGAAUAUUGCACAAUGGGCGCAAGCCUGAUGCAGCAACGCCGCGUGAGGGAUGACGGCCUUCGGGUUGUAAACCUCUUUUAGCAGGGAAGAAGCGAAAGUGACGGUACCUGCAGAAAAAGCGCCGGCUAACUACGUGCCAGCAGCCGCGGUAAUACGUAGGGCGCAAGCGUUAUCCGGAAUUAUUGGGCGUAAAGAGCUCGUAGGCGGUUUGUCGCGUCUGCUGUGAAAUCCGGAGGCUCAACCUCCGGCCUGCAGUGGGUACGGGCAGACUAGAGUGCGGUAGGGGAGAUUGGAAUUCCUGGUGUAGCGGUGGAAUGCGCAGAUAUCAGGAGGAACACCGAUGGCGAAGGCAGAUCUCUGGGCCGUAACUGACGCUGAGGAGCGAAAGGGUGGGGAGCAAACAGGCUUAGAUACCCUGGUAGUCCACCCCGUAAACGUUGGGAACUAGUUGUGGGGUCCAUUCCACGGAUUCCGUGACGCAGCUAACGCAUUAAGUUCCCCGCCUGGGGAGUACGGCCGCAAGGCU